UACGUAGGUGGUGAGCGUUGUCCGGAAUUACUGGGUGUAAAGCGCGUGUAGGCGGGAGGCCAAGUCUGUGGUGAAAUCGCCUGGCUUAACUGGGCGGGGUCCAUGGAAACUGGUCACCUGGAGGUCGGUAGAGGCAAGUGGAAUUCCCGGUGUAGUGGUGAAAUGCGUAGAGAUCGGGAGGAACACCGGUGGCGAAGGCGGCUUUUUGGUCUGUAACUGACGCUGAGGCGCGAAAGCGUGGGGAGCAAACAGG
This 253-nucleotide ribosomal RNA is filed under the name uncultured prokaryote. RNAcentral describes it as "partial 16S ribosomal RNA". It matches the Rfam family "Bacterial small subunit ribosomal RNA", at positions 524 to 776 of the family's 1533-position model. The record is from RNAcentral.